RNAcentral lists this ribosomal RNA (425 nucleotides) under uncultured Clostridium sp. RNAcentral describes it as "bacterial SSU rRNA". It matches the Rfam family "Bacterial small subunit ribosomal RNA", at positions 355 to 794 of the family's 1533-position model. The record is from RNAcentral. Lineage: Bacteria; Bacillati; Bacillota; Clostridia; Eubacteriales; Clostridiaceae.
UGGGGAAUAUUGGGCAAUGGGCGAAAGCCUGACCCAGCGACGCCGCGUGAGGGAAGAAGGUCUUCGGAUUGUAAACCUUAGUUAGCAGGGAAGAAGAAAGUGACGGUACCUGCAGAGAAAGCCACGGCUAACUACGUGCCAGCAGCCGCGGUAAUACGUAGGUGGCGAGCGUUAUCCGGAAUUACUGGGUGUAAAGGGAGCGUAGGCGGUUAAUUAAGUUAGAUGUGGAAUACCCGGGCUUAACUUGGGGGGUGCAUCUAAUACUGGUAAACUAGAGUACAGGAGAGGAAAGCGGAAUUCCUAGUGUAGCGGUGAAAUGCAUAGAUAUUAGGAGGAACAUCGGUGGCGAAGGCGGCUUUCUGGACUGACACUGACGCUGAGGCUCGAAAGCGUGGGGAGCAAACAGGAUUAGAUACCCUGGUAGU